RNAcentral lists this ribosomal RNA (119 nucleotides) under Pteropus alecto (black flying fox). Lineage: Eukaryota; Metazoa; Chordata; Mammalia; Chiroptera; Pteropodidae. RNAcentral also lists the same sequence under 1 other name. The record is from RNAcentral.
GUCUAGGGCCAUGCCACCCUGAACAAGCCCGAUCUCGUCUGAUGUCGAAAGCUAAGCAGGGUCGGGCCUGGUUAGUACUUGGAUGGGAGACCACCUAGGAAGACUAGGUGCUGUAGGCA